CGAAGGUCCCAAGCGUUAUCCGGAUUUAUUGGGUUUAAAGGGUGCGUAGGCGGGCUAUUAAGUCAGUGGUGAAAGCCCCAAGCUUAACUUGGGAACUGCCAUUGAUACUGAUGGUCUUGAGUACAUUUGAGGUGGGCGGAAUGUGUCAUGUAGCGGUGAAAUGCUUAGAUAUGACACAGAACACCGAUUGCGAAGGCAGCUCACUAAACUGUAACUGACGCUGAGGCACGAAAGCGUGGGGAGCAAACAGGAUUAGAUACCCUGGUAGUCCACGCCCUAAACGAUGAUCACUCGAUGUGUGCGAUAUACUGUACGCGUCUGAGCGAAAGCAUUAAGUGAUCCACCUGGGGAUACGACCGCAAGGUUG
RNAcentral lists this ribosomal RNA (367 nucleotides) under uncultured organism. RNAcentral's name for it is "bacterial SSU rRNA". It matches the Rfam family "Bacterial small subunit ribosomal RNA", at positions 526 to 896 of the family's 1533-position model. The record is from RNAcentral.